Molecule: long non-coding RNA, 1166 nt
Filed under: Ananas comosus (pineapple)
Lineage: Eukaryota; Viridiplantae; Streptophyta; Magnoliopsida; Poales; Bromeliaceae
Description: long non-coding RNA (ACOM_LNC009342)
Source: RNAcentral
CCAAUUCUGCAUCCAAUUCGUGCAGAAUUGACUCUGACUCAGUCCGACACUCUCCAGAGAUGUCGACUAGUCACUAAUACUGAAGCCAAUCCUAUCCAAAGGUCAAGAACACUACAACCGGCUUAGGAUUCCCGAUUCAAAGGAUAUAUAGAUAUAGAUUUAUAUUUUAAAUUUAAAAUUUUAAAUUAAGUACAAAAUUUUAAUUUCUGUUAAGAAGAGAUUCAGUUUAAAAUUUAUAUUUAUAUUUAAAUUUUUUUAAAUUUUGUGGGUUCCACAGGGAAAAAGCAAAAAAAAAAGCCCGCUCCGCGUCGGCUCGCGCCAGCUCCCGCUCGCGAUCGAUCAAAAUAAGAUAUUCGAUUUAAAAUUUAAAUUUAAAUUUUAAUUUAUAUUUAAAAUUAACAUUUUUAUUUUUAUUUUUUGUAUGUAACUUAAAUUUAUAUUUAUUUUUUUUAAAUUUUGUGUGUCCCACAGGAAAAAGCAUAAAAAAAAGCCCGCUCCGCGCCGGCUCGCGCCCGCUCCCGCUCGCCCGCAAUCCAUCAAAAUAAGAGAUUCAAUUUAAAAUUUUAAUUUUAAUUUUAAUUUAUAUUUAAAAUUUAAAUUUAAAUUUUUAUUUUUUGGAUGUGAGUCACAGUACUGCAAAAUAAGGGGAAAAAAAGUUAGAAAAGGGAGAAAAAAAGUCCUCUAGUGAUUAAUCAUAUAAUCUACCUUGCUAGAAAGAAGGAAAAGUAGUAAAAAGUAAUGAUAAUUUCAACAUUAAAUUCUCCACUUUUGCUGGGAAUUACAGGUUUGAUAAUCUAAAGACUUUGAAAGCGAAAAAGUGGUCACCUACUUUCAGGAAAAAAGAGGGAUUAUUUAUAAUGAGAGAACAAAUUUAUGAUGAGGCCAUUUUUUAGUAGAAUUCUUGCAUCUUCAAUGCAUCAACUCCCUUUGUAACCCUGUGAUCCCCACCAAGAUCAAUAAUGUUUAAUCAUAUAAACCAAAUUAUUGAAUGGGUCCUAAUGCUCGAAAUCGGGAUCUGAGGAUCAUUUGAGUUUUCGCUAUCUGAGAUCAUUUGUGGUUCUUACUUGAUGCUAUGCUUAGUUGUCCUCCAUGACUCAUGUUAAGUAAAGCUUGUCAAGGAUGAAUUUAAUGGUACUUGCAGAGCCUUUUCUGUCUCAUUAUUUUGU